This is a non-coding RNA of Arachis ipaensis, 578 nucleotides long. NCBI's taxonomy places the organism in Eukaryota, Viridiplantae, Streptophyta, Magnoliopsida, Fabales, Fabaceae. The record is from RefSeq and is a predicted model, not a curated record.
CUCAUCCCGAAUCGCCAUCAUCGCCGGUGUAGGGAGAGGAGUUGUCGCGCCACUGUAGCGCCGCCGCCACUGUUGGGUCACCGUGCUGUCGUCUGAGAACAGAGAGCGUGCGCGAGGAAGGAGAAGCCCUGCCCUCGCGUCCGUGGUUGUCUCCGCGGGUCCCUGUCGCCGCCGCCUCUGAGUUCGUCGCCAUCAAGCAGAGCGCGCACAGAGGAGAAGCCGUUCAAGUCAGACAGAGCGCGCACAGAGGAGAAGCCGUUCAAGCUACUGUCAAGUCACCAUCGAUGAAGCUUCAACCGCUGUACCUCUGGUCGCCGGAAACUGCCGUUGGAGCCGCCACCUUCUUGGGAUUGGUUAUCGCGAGUUGCUCUGUCGGAGCUACCAUUCCACUACUGCCGCCUUUGCUCUGAGCCGUUAAUUGUAGCGAGUAUUGUUGUCAUGGCGGCUGCUCGGUUUAGUCGCUCCUCUUUAGCAUGGAUCGAGGUCCGGUUGCUGCACGUUGGUGAAUUUAAGUUGCUGUUAUGGGUGCGGACACCAUGGAGCUGUGAUUGCGAUUGUUACCAAUGUCGGGCCGAGAG